RNAcentral lists this ribosomal RNA (113 nucleotides) under Ananas comosus (pineapple). Lineage: Eukaryota; Viridiplantae; Streptophyta; Magnoliopsida; Poales; Bromeliaceae. The record is from RNAcentral.
GGAUGCGAUCAUACCAGCACUAAAGCACCGGAUCCAUCAGAACUCCGCAGUUAAGCGUGCUUGGCGAGAGUAAGCUAGGAUGGGUGACCCUGGGAAGUCUCGUGUUGCAUCCC